This 206-nucleotide ribosomal RNA is filed under the name uncultured bacterium. Its description in RNAcentral is "partial 16S ribosomal RNA". It matches the Rfam family "Bacterial small subunit ribosomal RNA", at positions 568 to 774 of the family's 1533-position model. The record is from RNAcentral.
AGAGUAGGCGGUUUAGAAAGUGCAAAGUAAAAGGCUAGUGCUCAACGCUAGUAUGCUUUGCAAACUAAUAGACUAGAGUACAGGAGAGGUUAACGGAAUUCCAUGUGUAGCGGUGAAAUGCGUAGAGAUAUGGAAGAACACCGGUGGCGAAGGCGGUUAACUGGACUGGAACUGACGCUGAGGCUCGAAAGCGUGGGGAGCAAAUA